GCCCAAAGCCAUUUGGUUGAGGGCACGCCUGCCUGGGUGUCGUGAAUCAUUUGCCCCUUCUCACCCCUUUGCGUCGUCGCAAGGAGUGGACCGGGUGCGUAAUGUGGCCUCCCGUGGGAUCGAUGUGCACAACGUUGAGGUGCGGUUGGCCUAAAAUUGAGCACGGCAGUCGCUUGCAGCACGACUUCUGGUGGAUCAUCUCAGACACGUAUGAGAUUUGGUCGUGUCGUGUGCUAGGCUGCUCAUGGGCUUUGGGCUCGGAUGAUCUUUGGAUGCGAUCCCAGGUCAGGCGGGGCUACCCGCUGAGUUUAAGCAUAUCAAUAAGCGGAGGAAAAGAAACUAACAAGGAUUCCCUUAGUAACGGCGAGCGAACAGGGAAGAGCCC
RNAcentral lists this ribosomal RNA (385 nucleotides) under Memecylon polyanthum. RNAcentral's name for it is "eukaryotic LSU rRNA". The stretch from base 276 to 385 matches the Rfam family "Eukaryotic large subunit ribosomal RNA", at positions 1 to 110 of the family's 3401-position model. Lineage: Eukaryota; Viridiplantae; Streptophyta; Magnoliopsida; Myrtales; Melastomataceae. The record is from RNAcentral.